Molecule: long non-coding RNA, 623 nt
Filed under: Mytilus galloprovincialis (Mediterranean mussel)
Lineage: Eukaryota; Metazoa; Mollusca; Bivalvia; Mytilida; Mytilidae
Source: RNAcentral
UCUGUUUAUUUCAGAUGAGGGUAAGUAUCAAGGAGCACGUCGUGUGUGAGUGCAUCCUUGAAGUUUUCUGUAGUACUGUUUUUGGUAAUUUCAGGGGUUAGUUUGUUCCAGUCUUUGAUGGUUUGACAGAAAAAAAGAAAAUUUAUAGCUGUCUUUAUUGCAAUGAAUUUGUCUGUAGGAUUCUUUAUUGGUGGAUCUUGUAGUAGACUGACUCUGUUGUAAUACAUUUUGCGAUGGAAUGGCUAUAUUUUCAUUUACAAUUUUGUGGAACAUUAUAAGCCUUGUUCGUAGUCGGCGUUCUUGUAAUGUUUGCCAUUUCAUGGUAUCUAGCAUCUCAGACACACUGCUGGUGUUGUGAUGUCUAUUGCACACAUACCUUGCUGCCCGUCUUUGUACUUUUUCCAGUGAUUUUAUAUUUUCGUUUGUAAAUGGGUCCCAUACAGUACAACAGUAUUCCAACUUUGGUCUUAUGAGUGUUUGGUACGCUCUUUCUUUAAUUGUUUGCGAUUGGACUUUAAGGUUUCUUCUGAUGAAACCUAAGGAUUUAUUUGCUUUUGCAGCAGUUUGUUGGAUGUGGGUGUUCCAUUUUAGGUCUGCUGAGAUGGUGAUACCUAAGUAUUUUG